AUGUGCAGUCAGGUUGUUCUAAGUGAGGAACCUGACAAAGUCAAAUGGCUUUUGACCAGCUCUGGCCAGUUCUUUGUUAAAUCUCUUUAUCAAUAUAUUAUUGCUAGGAGAGUAGUGUUCCCUUUUAAGUUUCUGUGGAAACUGAAGGUACCUUUGAAAAUUAAGGCUUUUAUUUGGUUAGUUAUCAAAGGGAGGAUCCUGACCAAGGACAACUUGUGUAAAAAAGGCUGGAAAGGCACCAACAAAUGUGAAUUUUGUGAUGCCAAUGAAUGUAUUGACCAUCUGUUUUUCACUUGCUCUUUUGCUCGGUUUCUUUGGAAUGUAGUUGGGAGUGCUUUGGGAAAUCCCCAAACACCCCUGUCAUUCUUUGACUUUUGCCAGAAUUGGCUUCCUAAGUAUACUGGGAAAGAUAGAGUGGUUAUAGCUAUUGGUACGACUGCUUUAUUAUGGUCGAUCUGA
This 459-nucleotide ribosomal RNA is filed under the name Triticum aestivum (bread wheat). RNAcentral describes it as "partial small subunit ribosomal RNA". The record is from RNAcentral. Lineage: Eukaryota; Viridiplantae; Streptophyta; Magnoliopsida; Poales; Poaceae.